RNAcentral lists this ribosomal RNA (328 nucleotides) under uncultured eukaryote. RNAcentral's name for it is "partial 18S ribosomal RNA". It matches the Rfam family "Eukaryotic small subunit ribosomal RNA", at positions 1470 to 1796 of the family's 1831-position model. The record is from RNAcentral.
CCCUUAGAUGUUCUGGGCUGCACGCGCGCUACACUGAAGCGUUCAACGAGUAUUCACCUUGCCCGGGAGGGUUGGGUAAUCUUUUGAAAACGCUUCGUGAUGGGGAUAGAUUAUUGCAAUUAUUAAUCUUCAACGAGGAAUUCCUAGUAAGCGCAAGUCAUCAACUUGCAUUGAUUACGUCCCUGCCCUUUGUACACACCGCCCGUCGCUCCUACCGAUUGAAUGUUCCAGUGAGCACUCUGGAGUAACGGUAUCGACUAGCAAUAGUUCUAUACCAAUUGCGAAACUGUGCAAACCUUAACAUUUAGAGGAAGGAGAAGUCGUAACA